ACGUCUGAAUUCGUUGUUACAAGUCAGCUGUUGAGCAAUCAUGGACAGUGAGGCUUUGCAGGUUAUGUGCGGAAUUCAGGUUGAAAUGAGUUUCAGUCGAGAUUUAGGUUAAUCAUCGCGUUCGAAAUCUUGCGCAGUUGUUAUGAUCCCUGAAAUAUUGGCGGACAAAGGGAAACAUUGAGAUAAUCCGAUAAUUCGACCUUGAUUUUUGGGUGCAGAUAUUCACGAGCUCAACUCGGAAUGAUAUGUUAUCUUGAUGCAGUGCAGUCGUAAUUCACUCUUCUAAUGUAACUUUCCAAUCACGAACAUGAACCAAGUUACCGUUAAAGUUGCCAGGUGUUGCGCAGUCUUGCGUACACUAUCGUUGGCACAAAGUGCGCGAAAAUUUUGUGAAAAUGGACUAACGUCGAUUAGAACGAUGGAAAACGUGCCGAUGUCAAAGGACUUUUUGUUUCGUCAGUUUUUCGACCCAAAGUCAUGCACGUACACGUACCUGCUCGCAGAUGUUCAAAGUCGCCAUGCAGUUUUCAUUGAUCCGGUUAUCGAGUGGGCCGAGCGUGAUGCAAAAAUCAUCGAGGAACUAGAGUUGCAGCUUCUUUUUGCUCUAAACACACACAUGCACGCGGACCAUAUAACGGGAACGGGAAAACUGAAGACGCUGUUGCCUGGCUGUAAAUCGGUGAUAUCUCGAUCGAGCGGUGCCCAAGCCGACGUUUUGCUCGAGCCCAACGACCUCGUUAAAUUUGGAAAGCACGCGCUCAAAGUUUUAUCGACUCCUGGACACACGGAAGGGUGCGUGACUUACGUUUGUGCGGAGCAGGGCAUGGCAUUUACGGGCGACGCUUUGCUCAUACGCGGCUGUGGCCGAACGGACUUUCAAGGAGGCUCCGCGGCAACUCUGUACGAUUCGAUUCACUCGAAAAUUUUCCAACUACCGGAAAACUUUCGUUUGUAUCCGGCUCACGAUUACAACGGACGAAUGGUCACGAGCGUCGCGGAGGAACGGAAAUUUAAUCCGCGUCUGACGAAAUCUCUCGAGGAAUUUGUCCAGAUUAUGGAGCAACUGAAUCUUCCGUAUCCGAAAAUGAUCGACAAAGCCGUGCCGGCCAACAAAGUUUGUGGCCUUUUCGAGGUCGACCAGCAGCCAAAAUGAGGACGAGUUCGAGAGCGGAGGAGCUUCUCCCGCGACAACUUCAGCGGUCUUUGAACCGGAAAUCCUCUAAAUUCUGUACGGCGCAUCUUCCCAAUAAUGAUCCUGGAGCGGUGGCUUAUAGCAGAGAGAAGAAAAGAGGAAAGGAGCGGGCGCUGGGCGGAGUGAAAAAAUUCCCGAAAGAUCCGGUGGGAGGAGAGAGGAAAAUUUACCAUUCGCGCGGUGCAUACAUGUUUUUAAAUCGUGGUAUUAGGUUCAAUGGCGCGUGUGGAUUCGUUUCGAGUGCUCGCACACACACGAGCCUGCCCACGCGGGUGCUCCGAUGACGAACAAAAAAUAAAAGCAAGAAAUACAGGUUACGAAGGCGGUUAAUAAUAAUAAUUGGUGGAGGGCCAACGAGGUGCGUUAACGGAGGCUCAACGUUAUUGGCCGUUUUACGGUUUCGUCGAUAUCCCAGCAACGCAGGAUCGUAAAUAAAAAUGGACGCGAGAACUUUUCUCUUCAAAAUACGAAUUCCGAGACACCCUGUAAAAGUCUGUACACACGUGCGAGAUGGAGGAAACGGUAUAUAGAAUCCAUCGGAUGGUAUACAUAUUGACCGAGGUUGAUAUGAGAGUGGAAAAUAAAAAAUAAAUAAAUAAAUAAAACGCUCGGGUUUUAUAGG
Molecule: RNA transcript, 1814 nt
Organism: Venturia canescens
Lineage: Eukaryota; Metazoa; Arthropoda; Insecta; Hymenoptera; Ichneumonidae
Gene name: persulfide dioxygenase ETHE1, mitochondrial
Exons: 7
Source: RefSeq, a predicted model, not a curated record